Molecule: long non-coding RNA, 2294 nt
Filed under: Homo sapiens (human)
Lineage: Eukaryota; Metazoa; Chordata; Mammalia; Primates; Hominidae
Description: HSALNT0306147
Source: RNAcentral
GGAGCUGUUCCUAUUCGGCCAUCUUGGCUCCUCCCGAGCACUUAUUUUCAAGGAGUCAUCAUUUAAAAUCUUAUUUUCUUAAUAAGAACACAUACUCCUUAAGAAGACAUACUUUUUUUGUACCCUUGUCUCUCUCAUUUAUUCCUUCUCCCUCUAUUCAUAAUUGACAUUAAUUGAACAUUCUUUGUUUUAUUAAUCUAUAUAAAAACAAUGUCACAUUUCAAGUGUUUAUCAUGUAAGCAAUGUUAUAUCGACUUAACGUGGUAGGCAGAAUAAUAGACCUUCAAUGAUGAUGGCCCUAUCCUAAUCUCUGGAACCUAUGAAAAUGCUAUCUUCGUGGCAAAGGGGACUUUGCAAGUGUGAUCAAGUUAAGGACUUUGAGGUAAAAGGUCAUUAAUUAGGAGAAGAUUUAUCUCAAGGAAACGUAUGAUCUGUGGGUAGUGUGGUCAAAGAUGACUUCUGCAGAUAAAAACAUCAUCUUGUAUGCAAGAGAUACGACCCUCUUUUAUAUAGUUGAACUGCAAAGACUACCUUACUGUUCACUCCCAGAAUGGCAAAAAGAUAGAUGAAGAUGGAGAAAUGUGCACCUAACACUGCAUCUUUAUGAGCAAAGGAUUUUCUUUGGAAAAACUGUGAUUAUAUGAAAAUCAUAGGACAUUUUAUUUGUGACUACAGGGCGUGGUGAAAACCUCUGCUACCAUACUGGAUACAAGGUCUUUAACUUCUCAGCACCAGUUUUAUGGAGCCCCCACCGCUAAGCAAGUAUGCAAAAUGCAGUGCUGCUUCGCAUUGGGAAAUCCCCAAUCUGGUGCCAAGAGGUUCAUAAAUACAGUAAUGGACCCUCUUAUGUCAAAAGAACUUUGGAAAAAUGCAGACAUUAAAACAGAAAAAACAUUGCUUGUUGUCUUUUUUCUUUGGAUCUGUAGAGUUACCAGAAGAAAAAGAUGGGAACAGUGGUAAAGUUAGUACAUUUCCUAGGAUUUAGAUCUACUGGAAAUGUCUGGACCCCUGCAGGCCUCUAGCCACAAGAUUGCAUCACCUAUCAUAAAACUCCCUGGCUGUGCUUUUCUACUGAGUUCACAUUUACAGUACUAAUAAUGCCUUCAGUACAAGUCAUUUCCAGGGAAUUAAAUCUUUGCAGUCAGUGGGUUAAAUCCCCAUGAAAUAACCUGCAGGUGACCCAGUUGGAUUGAUCUCAAGUAUAGAAUUUCAGAUCAAUAGUUGCUGUACUUGGAUUCUGAGAUAUAAAACAAUCCCUAGUGUUUUUGUUACCCCAAUGAGUAUUAUCAGACAAGGGAUUACUAUGGCAAUUGCAGGGUCUUAUGAUAUUAAUGGGGUUUUUUUUUUUUUGGUCCAAAAAGAAGUUAUUUUAAAAAGUAAAUGCCUUCUGUUCACUCUUCUUGGACUAUGUGAUAACUUUCAAACAUAUAAUAAAAAUUAAAGUAAUUCAGACCGCUCCAGUGGUCAUUAAUUGCUUGUACUAGAAAUAGCAUUUUCUCCUCAGAUGCAAAGUAUUCCAGUUGGAUGCAAAAUUCUGUUUGGUCUAACCACCUUUUAACUCUUCCAUGAAAGAGUAACAGAUCUCCCAAUCUGGGGCCAAAUAAAAAUGUUAACUCUCCACAAACUGGGCUUGGGGGUAAUAAAAGAGAAAAGGGAAAUAAUGUUAUGACAACAUGUACCAUGACAUCAACUGACAUGAUGUUUUACUUGUGUGUAAGCAAAAAACAGAAACCAUUUUAAGUAUUUACACCAACAAAGGGAAUUAAUUUGAUGCAGACAAUUGGUUACCCAUAUAAAGAAGAAGCUGAGAACCAGAUAAGGAAGAGUGGAGUAACCAAGAAAGUAGACACAUCAGGAAGCCACUACCUUCUCCAGGCUGGAAAAGCAAAGAAAGGAGAGUCUGUGUCACCAGAUGGGAGCUGAAACCAGAUGGGCCCUGUCUGGUCAAAGCUGAAGCUGUAGAGGAGAAGGAGCCUCAGGCUGAAAAGCUACCUGAGGCAGAUGGGUGGCAAGGGUGAACGGGUUGGGGAUAAACUCAUAAACUGCUGGCCUUUGUCUUCUCUCUCUUUCUACCAUCUCCUUCCAGUGGCUUUGACCGGGUGCAACAGCAUCUCAAGAGCACAUGUAAGUUUGGAGAUUUCUCAAAUAACUUAACUUAAAACUGAGCUACCAUUGGGCCCAGCAAUCCCAUUACUGGGUAUACAUCCAAAAGGAAACAAAUCUUUCUACCAAAAAGACACAAGUACUUGCAUGUUCAUCGCAACACUAUUCACGAUAGCAAAGAUAUGGAAUCA